GAUGAACGCUGGCGGCGUGCCUAAUACAUGCAAGUCGAGCGAACAGACGAGAGUGCUUGCACUCUCUGACGUUAGCGGCGGACGGGUGAGUAACACGUGGGUAACCUACCUAUAAGACUGGGAUAACUUCGGGAAACCGGAGCUAAUACCGGAUAAUAUUUAGCUUCGCAUGAAGCAAGAGUGAAAGACGGUUCUGCUGUCACUUAUAGAUGGACCCGCGGUGUAUUAGCUGGUUGGUGAGGUAACGGCUCACCAAGGCAACGAUACAUAGCCGACCUGAGAGGGUGAUCGGCCACACUGGGACUGAGACACGGCCCAGACUCCUACGGGAGGCAGCAGUAGGGAAUCUUCCGCAAUGGACGAAAGUCUGACGGAGCAAUGCCGCGUGAGUGAAGAAGGUGUUCGGAUCGUAAAACUCUGUUGUAAGGGAAGAACAAGUACGUUAGUAACUGAACGUACCUUGACGGUACCUUACCAGAAAGCCACGGCUAACUACGUG
Molecule: ribosomal RNA, 499 nt
Filed under: uncultured bacterium
Lineage: Bacteria
Description: partial 16S ribosomal RNA
Rfam family: Bacterial small subunit ribosomal RNA
Source: RNAcentral